UCACAUUUAUAGUAUUUAAUAUUUUUACACGUAUGUAUAGACAGUUAUAUUAUUUAAUUUUCUUACACAUGUGUAAAGUCUCCAAUGGUAAAUUACAUGACUGUACACAAAAUUUCAACUACUACAGCUUAAUAGGAACAUUGUACUUUACCGAAACAAAAAUAGGAUGAAAUAGUUCAUGAUGGGAAUACGUAAAUAUUGUAUGGCAUUGUACAGUAUCAAUCAUGGUGAAUCUGAAUCACAAACAUUGCCAAAACUGGAGUUCUCUUCUCCCCUGAAAUUAACAAAAAAACAUAACAAUACAACACUUCUCACUCAUAUUUCCAAACUACUUUCAUAAGGCGCAGAGAGCUGCUCCAGUGAGAAAACACACAAAAAGCUUCUACAAUCCUGGGAGAUCAGCGAAACAUGAGAAAUACUCAAGUAACAAUGAAUGAUGGACUGAAAUGCAAACUGUAGUUCUGCAAGUACGAACAUCUAUCCUCUUAGAUAAAUAUACAUCUAUCCUCUUAUACAGAUAAAUAUUUUUGCAAUCUAUCACUUUUUCCCUGAAGCCAAGAAUCGAAACAAUAUGAGGUAUUUCUAAACUGACACAUACAUGUUUUCAAAGCCAUGACUGCAUGUGAAAGCAUAUAUCUGUAGUUCUUAAUUAGCGGCAAGUAUGCACUGCAAAUUGGAAUAAUUUCAGGCAUUGAAUUAAAAAAAGAAAUUGAAUUGUUAACAGAAAACAUAUUGCCUAUGAUGAUCGCCUUUUUUUGCUGUGGUCAUGCUCUAUAAACUUUGAAUAUCACACAUAAUUUGUAUUCUAUCUCAAACAAAAUUGAACAAAAGGUCUAUAGCUCAUUCCUAUAACAAACCCGACUGCCAUACAGAAUAAAAGUCUACAGCAAAUUUUGUGAAAAAAGCUAGAAAGUAGAAAUCUUACAUCUUUUUCAAAGCUCUGGCGUUUAUUGGCUUGGAGCUCCUGAACCUGCUUUUCAAUACAGUGCAAGUCAAAUCUCAGCCUCUUGUCAUAGUCAUAGUAUGAUCUCCCGUGAAAUCCUCCUCACAGGCCUCCAUCUCGAAACCUUCAUGGGCUAGAGAAAAAGAUAAUAAAACAUGCCAAACAGAUUGAGAAAAGUGACAUAAUAAGUAUCUAUUGGAAAGAUCGAGCCUAGGAUUAUCUAUUUUUUGCUUCGUUGUGCAUUGCAUCUGCAGUUGCACAAAAAAUUGAUCAUUGCAUUCUUCUAAAUCCAGAAUGUCCAGUCUUUACAAUCUAGUCCCUCUGUUCCUAAAUAUUUGUCUUUUUAGAGAUUUUUCAAAUGGACUACCACAUACGGAUGUAUAUAGACAUAUUUUAGAGUGUAAAUUCACUCAUUUUGCUCGUAUGUAGUCACUUGUUGAAAUCUCUAGAAAGACAAAUAUUUAGGGACGGCGGGAGUAGCUCAUUACAAUCAUCAUACAGGUAAGUUCAACAUUGAGAAAAGAAAGAAACAGAAAAGAAAAAAGAGGAAUAAGCAAAGAAGAAAUUGUUGCUAUACUUUUGCUAGAAGAUAACCCAGCCUAUAUGACUACAUCGAUCUAGGCAAAGAUCUUUACCCAACAUCCUUCUCUCUAAUUAUCAAAAAUUCAUGAUUGGAAUCAAAACCAAGCAAACUUUCAUAUUGAUCUGCCUACACUUUAUACUUUCAACACCAACCGUACAUUGCACAUUAUCCACAAUGCAAACUGAAAGAUAUGCAGUUCUUGUUUGAGAACCGAAGAGAUAUGCAUGCGUAUCAUAGUACUGAAAGGGGUAUAUAGAAAAGCUAGUGUUGUGGAAAAUCAGAACACAAAAUUCGAAUUAUUUGGUGUGCGAAUGGCGCUUACACAAUCUGAAUCUGAUGCCGCUCGGGCUCACUGUUGUAGAAGGUGCAACCGCUGCUGAACGGGAACAGCAACCCGGUAAAGAAGAAUUGAAUACUACAUAGAAGACAUCAUGGAGGGAAAUAUGAUGCACCCAAAAGGCCAAAACAACACCAAUUUAACCAAUAGCAGAGUUUUGAAAGGCACUCACAUAC
RNAcentral lists this long non-coding RNA (2039 nucleotides) under Triticum aestivum (bread wheat). Its description in RNAcentral is "long non-coding RNA (TAES_LNC016918)". The record is from RNAcentral. Lineage: Eukaryota; Viridiplantae; Streptophyta; Magnoliopsida; Poales; Poaceae.